This 39155-nucleotide long non-coding RNA is filed under the name Sorghum bicolor (sorghum). RNAcentral describes it as "long non-coding RNA (SBIC_LNC007677)". Lineage: Eukaryota; Viridiplantae; Streptophyta; Magnoliopsida; Poales; Poaceae. The record is from RNAcentral.
CUUAAUGUUGAGUUUUGUUUGCACGAGCACUGUAGCUUUAUUACACAGAAUUUCUAUCGACUAGUGCAUCAACCCAUGUUCUGGCAUGGGCUUGAAUUUUAUGAGAUAUAAGUAUUAAGUAUUGUUCUGCUCAUUUCAAAUUAUAAACCAUUUUGGCUAUUAAAGAUAUAUUAUUUUUUAUUCUACCUGAUCAGUAUAUCUAAGUGUAUAAAAGGAACUAUAUACUUUCGAAACAUGUUAUAACUUGAAAUGCGCGGAGUAGAUCUGAAUAAUAAUGAAAUACUCAUAAAUUAUAUGUUUUUCUCUUUGUCUAAUCUUUAACAUAAUAGACAUGAUAGAUACUCUAUAGUCUAUAUCUAGUUAUCAUAAACUUAUUAGUUACUAUUUUUUCAACAAACUAAUCUAUGUAUUUUUAUCUAUAUUACAUUAAAUAUGCAAUUACUUUGAAACCUUACCAUUAAUCACGGUGGCUCUUGUUUUGUUAUGUAUCAAAUUUUUUAUUUUCAAAUUUUAUUCUUAUUGACUGCGACAGAUUUAUUUUUUCUCUCCUUAAGUUAAGUUGAACCCCUUAUAUAUGCUUAUUGUAUCUUUCAUUAACUAUUCUUUUUGUAUUUUUGAAAUAAGAAUUUUAGGACAUAGUUUACAUUCUUAGGAACACAAUAGCAUAAGACAUCAUUUGAAACAUGCACCAUAUUGCUUAAGAUAAGCCACAGAGCUUGAAGUGAGAUCACAAACAGGAUAUAGUGCUAACCUCAAGAGAAUUUUAAUACCUAAAUCUUAUAAUGAUUGACUGAUUGACUUUUUACUCUAAACUAUUCUUAAAAGGUUAGGAAAAUAUAGCCACUAGUGGUCUACCACACUUCUCGAGAUGAUUGAGUUUUCCUAUCAAGGAAUUAUGUUUACAAAUAUGGUUAUAGUAGACAUGUCAAACAUUUUAGUUAAAGUACGUAAAUAUAUCUAAAGUAACAAUCUAUAUCAAUUAUAUGUUAUGGUUACUAAUAUGGCUUGAAAUUUUUUUAUAUUGAUAAGGAAAUAACUUUUUUUGUGAUUAAACAUAACAUAUUUAUUCUAUUGCUCAUGCAUGAUGGCAUUACGUGUAUAUUUACUUUAAUCAAAUCUUACUAUACGUAUUUUAUGAGAAUUUCUAGGAUCUAUCUUUUGUUUUCCUGUCAAGUCUUGUGACGAUUAACAUGCAAGCUAUAGAAGAAACGUCUUGUUAGAAUUUAUAGUAUUUAUCUUUUUUUUUUCUAGUGUGAUUUGUAUUUAGUUGAAAACUAAACUUAAGAUAUAUGAACUCUUGAUACAACUCUUUUUUGACAUUGCAAAUCUACAUUUAUCUUUUAACUUUUAAUUAAAUUGUUGCAAUUUCUUCAAAUGUUAAUUAGAAAUUCUGGUAUUCUUUAUAUUUUAUUCAAAAAACAUUUUUUAUUAUAACGAGUAUAGGUUUCCACAUAUGCUAAAAUUUGGCUUGCAUUGUGACACUAAACAUGUUCAAUUUAUUAUGUCAUACGAUUAUAUGUGUUGUAUUAUUUAUAUAUCAUAGAGUGAAUAUUGAUAUGACAUAAUGUUUCAGUAAAAACAUAUAUACUUGUUUAAAAUGAUAAUUAUUGAAUUUAUUAUCACGAAGUAUAGAUAUAAAGUGUUAUUGCAACAUCGUUUGCUAUGUGAACAUUUUCCAUGUUUCAUAACUUUUAAAAUAAAUGUUAUCCAAAUUUAUACAUGUUUAUUUGAUAUACAUGGUGCAACAUUGCAUUUAGUUAUUUUAUUUCACGAUUAUUGAAUUAUGAAACUUAGAAAUAUAUACAUGUACCAUACUUUUUGUUAAUAUUGAUAUUUUUAAUAUUAUAUAUUACUAUUUACACGUCAAUUUUAGAUAUGUUUUGUUUAUCUUCAAUUAUGGCUAAGGUACAUACAAAUAUAAAGUUAAUGCCUUGCAUUAUAUUUCACAAAGACAUAAAUGGAUAGGUUCAACACGAACAUAUAAUAUUAAUUUGCAUUAUUUUUCAUAAUGAUAAAGGUGGAGAAUUUAUAAUUAGGAGGCAUUUUAAAUUAUGUUCCAUAAGCGUAUAUUGGGUAGUUUAGGUACAAAGUUAGAAUAUUAUUUUGUAUUAUCUUUCACAAUGACAAAAGCAAGGUAAUUUAGACACAAUUUUAGGGGUUUAUUUAAAUUAUGUUUCAUAAUCGCCAAGGUGGGUAAUUUGGAUGAAAAAUCAGGGAGUGAUUUUGAAUUAUUUUUUAUGAUGACAUACAUGGGUAAUUUAUAUACAAAUAUAGAGGGUUAUUUUGAAUUAUCUUUUGUAAUGUCACAAUUGGGUAAAUUAAAUGCAAAAUUAGGGGUUACUUUAUUGUAUUUUCAUAAUGGCAGUAGUGGGUAAUGUUUUAUAAACUAUAAUAGAUGCAAUGGCUAUUAUCACUGACGAUAUUAGAGUUUAUCAAAUGAAAGGCUAGUUGUUUUUGAUUAUUGUCAUAAUUUGGAGGAUUUUGUUGUGUCUCUGUUGGGGUCUCUAAUUAGAAUUUAUAGGAUUUAUCUUUUUUUCUAGUGUCUGGUGAGAAUUAACGUGGUAUCUCUGUUGGGGCUUGUAAUAAUAAGAUUGGUCACAGCAGGCAGUGAAUCAUUCAGGCGGGUUCAGAGUUUAUUAGCUGAGAAUAUGUCGUGCAGAAUAAUAGUGCUGAUUUUGCUUCAGAUUAGGAAUCUCCGUACUUCUAUAGGUCAUAGGAGCAACGAAGGGGAAAUUCGUCAUGAACAUAGCUAUACUUUCUUACUUUUGUAUCCCAAGAAACACUCGUGCUUUUUUCUUUCCUUUUACUUAGGCCUUAUUUAGUUCACUUCAAAAACCAUAAAAUUUUCAAGAUUUCCCAUCACAUCGAAUAUUGCGGGACGUGCAUAGAGCAUUAAAUAUAAAUGGAAACAAAAACUAAUUGUACAGUUUGCCUUUAAAUUGCGAGACGAAUCUUUUAAUCUUAGUUACUCCAUGAUUGGACAAUGUUUGUCAAAUAAAAACGAAAUUGCUACAGUAUCAAAAUCUAAAAACUUUUUGAAUCUAAACAAUGCCUUAGUUGCAUAUGCAUAAAGUAUAAUAUAAAAAAGGAUGAUAAAAAAUUGUGUGCUAGAGGUCGCAUACGUUUCUUCUUGAUGUGCUUUGCAUUUGUAGCAUAUCACAACACUGCACGGUAAAUUAUUUUUUGUCUAAUUGGCCUGAAAUUCUUGCAGGCUGUCAGAGAUGUGAAUGAUGAGCCGCAGGUUGAAAAUUUAAAGGAUAUUGGCUUGAUACUUGUAAAAAAAUGUGAUGGUUUACCUCUUGGGAUCAAAGUAAUGGGAGGUCUCCUGAGUCGGAAAAGGAUAACACGAACCGACUGGCAAAAGGUCUUAGAUGAUUCUCUAUGGUCAGUAUCACAAAUGCCUCAAGAGCUAAAUUAUGCAGUAUAUCUUAGCUAUGAAGAUCUAGACCCUUGUUUGAAGCCUUGCUUUUUGCACUACUCCCUCCUUCCAAGGGGCAGAUUGUUUUAUGAUUAUGACAUUGUUGCCAUGUGGAUUAGUGAAGGAUUUGUUCAUGGAAUUUCACGUGACUUAGAAGACAUAGGAAGGGAAUACUAUGACGAGUUAAUACAGCGGAACCUUAUUGAGCCAGAUAUGAAGUUUAUUGAUCAAAGUGUUUGCAACAUGCAUGAUGUUGUCCGGUCCUUUGCUCAGAACAUGUUCCGAGACGAAGCACUCAUAACUCACAAUAGUAGAAUUGGGAUUGACAAGCUUAAAGCACAAAAGUUUAUUCGGUUAUCUCUCGAAAGCAAACAAUCGGAACAACCUGAUUUGGAGUGGUGUUCUCUACAAACACAAAUGUCACUGAGAACAAUGAUUUUAUUUGGUAAUAUAAAGAUUCAACCAGGUGAUUCAUUUCAUUCUUUUUCAAGUCUCCGAACACUACACUUGGACAGUGUAAAUAUUGUUGCAACACCCAAAUCUUUGUAUCAGCUGAAACAUCUGAGGUAUCUGUCAAUAGGAAAUAGUAAUAUAUCUAAGUUAUCAGAAGACAUUGGCAAGUUGAAAUUCUUGCAGUACAUUAGCCUUUCCGAUUGUCAGAGUUUGACCAAGCUUCCCAGUAGCAUCGGGGUGCUACAAGACUUGAGAUUUCUCAGUCUUCUCAGAACAAAUAUAAGUGUUGUACCAAGGGAGUUUUGUGGUCUAACUUCUUUGAGGAAAUUAUACGGAUUUCCAGCCCACAUGGACUGUGAUCACUGUAGUUUGGAGGAACUAGGGUCUCUCUCCCAGCUAACUGAACUUGAUAUCAGUUUCUUGGAGAAUGUAGCUUCUUCCUCAUCUGCUAUAGAGGCCAAACUUGGUGGAAAGAAGCGCCUAAGGUAUCUCUCACUUCAUUGCACCAGUAGACUUGGAGAUGAUGGCCUAUUGGUAAAAAAGGAAGAAGGGAUCUCUGAGAAAGCGAAGAGACAAAUCGAGGAGGUCUUUGAUGAGCUCUGCCCUCCGCAUGGCUUAGAACACCUUUCAGUCAACGGGUAUUUUGGUGAGCGGCUCCCAGGUUGGAUGAUGCCAGCAGCAGCAUAUAUGCCGCUUAGGAGCUUGAGGACUCUAAUGAUGGAUGACUUGGCCUGCUGCACGGAGCUUCCUAGUGGCAUGAGUCAGCUACCCUGCUUGGAGCUUCUGCAGAUUGUUCGUGCCCCGGCCAUCAAGUGUGUUCGCCUUGAAUGCCUACAACCAAACAAUCAAGUAGGUGUUGCGUUUCCCAGUCUACAGAAGCUGCGUUUUGUGGGAAUGUUCGAAUGGGAGGAAUGGGUGUGGGAGGAACAAGUGAAAGGCAUGCCUAUCUUGGAGUUGCUUAAACUGAAAAUGUGCAAGUUGAGGCGUGUGCCACCAGGCCUGGCCUUCCACGCAAGGGCUUUGAAGAAUUUAUAUAUAUAUGAUGUGAAGCAUCUAAGCUCUUUGGAGAACUUUGCUUCUGUGGUCCACCUCGAUGUGUUUAGAAACACUCACCUGGAGAGGAUCAGUAAUCUACCAAAACUGCAGAAGCUUGUCAUUCUCAUGUGCCCAAAGCUGAAGGUAGUGGAUGGCAUGCCUGCACUCCAGAGACUCGAACUGGGGGAUUAUGACAUGGAAACAGUCCCUAGGUAUCUGCAGGAUGUAAACCCAAGACAUUUGCUGCUGGAUUGUUCCUUAUCGCUGCUCACGUGUAUAGCAGCAGGAAAAUCUGGUCCUGAAUGGGAUAAGUUUCGCCAUAUCCAGCAAGUCAAAGCCUAUGCAAAUGAAGAAGGCUGUCCAAGGAAGUGGUAUGUGCUCUACACAAGGAACCCUUACCGCUUCGAGACAAAUAUCAGCCGCUCUGCUAUUGCCCAAGGUAAAUUAACACAGCCGCCUUCCAAUGUAAUUUAUUUUUUGGCACUCUGUUUUCCUCGGUUUCCUUCAAUCAGUUCAAUUCAUCUUCUGCAGCUCACGGACGCCGCAUAUGGCUUGCUUACUCGGAAACAUGUCCCAUUGAAGAUGAGUGGCCCACAGGAGGACACACGUAUGUAGAAAAACGUAUGCCCCUCUGCGUACGCUUCAGGUAAAAAAGUUGGCUACACGUUGAUUGCUUCCCUCUGUUUCAGUAAUUGUGCAUGCUUACACCUCCUUGACACGUGAUUAAUUGAACAUGGCAAGUUCUUUACCAUUUCAUUUCGUCCGUGCAACGUAUUUUUGCAACAUGUGCAGGUGCAACGCCUAUCGCCACUUGAAUGGCUGGUUUGAUGAAGCGUGCCUGCACUGCCAUGAAGCCGACAACAUCGCUUCCCCAUCUGAUCAGUGGACCCAAGGAGAAGUGCUUUCAGCCCGUAUAAAGACUGUUUGGGCAUGAGUGGAGGAAACGUCUUUAGUUUAGUGUGAGUAUGUGCAUCUUGGCUAUUCCUUGAUCUGCUUCUGUACCUUGUGUAUAAGAUCCUCAGCUUGUGUAUGUUCAUUUUACUGCUUUUUAGGGGCUUGUGUUCGAUCUUAUACUGUAACAUCUAGAAUACGUUUAUUGCGUUAGAAGUGUAAAGUGGUAUAAUAAUAAUAAUUGUAAUUUUAUCCAUCACUCAAAUGAAUGAUCAGAGAUUUUAGAUGCGUAGAGCUCGUCGAAUGCUUUCAGUUGCACUACUCAUAUGUAUUGUUUGGAAUUUGGAUCAUGGAGAUAUAAAUUUCAGAAGUUUUAAGAAAGAAAAAAUAAACAGGACCUUUUACUGUAGUGUGACGCGUGGUGGCCUUUUAUAUCCGCUCCAAGGCCUUUAGGUUCCAUCCAUAGCUUUUCAUAUUCAGGAUAAAAAAAAGAGGAGAGGGGAGAAAAGAGAAAGGAGAAGGGAGAAGGGGAGGAUAGGGCCUAGGGUUUUGCCGCCGUCGUAGCCGCCGCCGCCGCUGUCGGUCAUCCGUGGUGGUCGUUCUUCCUUCCGUGGAAAAUACGGUUUGGUUCUACCUUGUAUCUUGGCUGUUCCAUUGAUCUACCAUGUCCCUUUUACUGUCCAUGAGGGCUUAGCCAUGUUUGGCGUAGAUCGGAAUAACAAGGCUUUUAUGGCGGCAAGGAUCGUGGCGAGUUGGAUCGGAGAUAAUGGAAAGGUGAAGAGGCGGAGAAGAAGGAGUAGACGCCAGGAGUUUCGGCGUCGUGCUCGCUGUGGUUCUCUAGGUGAGAAGCCAAAUAUUAAUCCCCUUCAUCUGAUCAAGUUUUGCGGAUUAAAUCGCUUAUUUGGGAUUGGGUUUAGUGGAGAAAUUCUUGAAGUCAUUUUCGUUCAUGUCCUGAAAUUCUCGUCAGACUGAGCAGUCACUGUUCAUCGUAAUGUUAGGGCAUUUUAGAGGCUUUAAUAAUUUUUGAGCCUGUGGACAAAGUUGUAGAGGACUUCAAUAUCUUUCUUUAGACGCCAAGAACUCUGUCAGAGCAGUUAUAAUUUGUGAGAUAUCGAGUUUUCAAUCUGACUGUUUUCCAGUGACGAAAAUCUGGACAGUUUUGGAUCUAAACAGUUUUUGACCCUGUUAAUGAAAUAAUUAGGUCUUUGAUUAUUAACAAAUGUUUUAGGAUUUUUGUUAAGCUUUCUAUAUUGGUAAAGUUUGUAACUUUUGAAUAAGUAUAUCACCAGUUAUGAAUUUUUGAAGUUUGAUGUUCUGUUUUGAAGGUCAGAAAUAUUCAGUUGUGUUCUAUGGUUAAUUAUACCAUCUUGCAGAUCUCUGAUGCAAAACCUUACAAUACAAAAGUUGUAUAUAACAGAGUUUUACAUGAUCUGAUAAAUUAUGGUAAUUUUUGGAUGAGUAUUCUGAAGUAUAUGAAAAAGAGAAGAGUCGGUGCUGCUGUCUUGAUCGGUAGCGCAAACGGUAGAGGCUUGAAUGUCGGGUUUGGGGCGCAUUAGUGCGUAUUUGUUCUUACUCUUGCUUGUAUGUUGGUGUAUGUACUGAGUAGUAUUUGUGAUCAGGUGGUAGCACUUCGGAACAUCGCUAGUGUUUUUGUUCUCCUUCGGUAAAGAGGCAAGUGAAUGUAGCGGUGGUUUGCUACCGUUUUGGCUUGUUAUUUUUAUCACCUACAGUUUAUUGUCUAUAAGAAUGUCAUCCCUCUCAUAUCUAAAAUUUAUGAUUUUGGUAUAUUUAGUCUUAGUUAAAUUGUGGUCUUAUUUAAGUAUUUAUGGUGAUGGUAUUAUUUUAUAUUGUUAUUUGUGGCUAGCCCACAAACCUGAAUUUGAAGUCGGAGUAUCAUUGGUGAUUUAUUAAUUUUAUUGCAACAUACCAAGUGCAUUGCAUCAUUCAUUGGCAUUGGAAGUUAUGUCUUGACCUAUGGUCAUGACUGUACCGGUAUGCAUCAUGGGAUGCAGCUCCACACCUUAUUGGGUGUGCAGGCAGGAGACAUAUGCAUUGCAUUCAUAUGCAUUCAUGAGAAGUAUGUUAUUGAAGAGAUUUUAUCCACGUUAUUAUGAAGCUCUGUAUUAUUGGCUAUGUUCCAAAUUGGAAGACUGUUACUUUUAGUAUGAUAUUAUGUCAAUUGAGAACAUCAUAUUAAAUUGAUGUUAAUUCAAAUUGUGGUUUCAAUAGCUUGUCAAAACAAGUUCGCUUGCUGAGAUGUUUCGUCUCACCCUUGCUUUACUCAAUCCAGGUACUUGAUGCUUACUUGGAAGGGAAGAGACUUAGCUGCACGUCACACACGUAUUCAUUUAGAGACCUUGUGUUUUAAUAAAUAAUAAUUUGGUUUGCUUAUUGGUUUUGAAGGCGGUUGUUAAAGUGUGGGUGUUAAACUUAAUUCUUGUUGAAGUAACUUAUUUGCGUUAGGAUGUUCAUUAAUCCUAGUUUGGUAUUUUAGUAAUUUUUUUUUAUAUUUUAUUCUUCCGCUUGCUAUAAAUACAAAGAAGAUACUGUCAAAUUGUUUAUGGUUGUGUGCAGCUGUUGUUUGUGUAGUCUAGUAGCAUCCCGGUGUAUUUGUGGUUUUCGGGGUGUUACAUAUACAGUAUGGACACAUGCCACAUUGCAGAAAUAAAUGUUCUAUCUGCUACUGAACAUGUACACAGAUUGCAAAAUUAUAUGUUCUGUAAUUUCACUAUUUUAUCAGGCUUACGAUAGUGAAUGGUAAACUGGUUGUGAUGUCAUCAAUGGACUCAUGGCACACUGCAAAUACAUAUGUGUUACAUUUCUUAUGAACUUUUAUGUUUUUUUAUUCUGGAUUGGAGCAUGCUCGCACUCCAAAUCCUCCAAUAGCCCUUUGCUCAGUGGAGACAAAUCUAUAACCAGGUGUGCCCGGAGGAUAUCCCAGCUGCCCGUAACCAAAUUCCUCCAAUUACUAGUUUCCUGGGCUCCCUGGAAAUACCAGAAUAUUGUGGUGUCCAACCACCUCCUGCUGUCAAUGAGAAAGCUGGCACCUUCGAUAUCACUCUUGCGAUCUUGGCGAGCAGGUCACUGACAUCUUGGUGGGCACCAUUAGUUUUUGUUUUUAUUUAAAUUUAAUGCUAUAUACAUGUACCGUAAGAUUCGAUAUGACGAAAAAUCUUAAAAAAAUACAAAUUUUUUUUGGGAAGCCCUAGGCACCCCAAACCAGGUGAGGUCACACGGGCCUAUGCGAGAUCCGGCGUGCCAGCAAACUGGCUCCUAACAGAGUGUUCGAUGACAGAAUAAUUCCCAUCCCCGCCAAUACCAGUCCUAUCCAUGAAAAGGCGAAGAAGGCCCACGUCGGCAUGCUCUGUCGCUAGUCCCCACUAGCGCCUUCUGCGGGUCCCGUCACCAGUCCUCGCUGAUCGGUCUCUCAUCUUCUCCACCGGGACCCCUCGCCGCCGUCUCCUCUGCCUCUCAUCUUCUGCAACAACGGGUAGGCAAAGAGGUGGCAUGUGUGGCUCGCCGGCCGUUGAGCCGAGGCAGAGCGCGCGUCUCGGCAUCAAAGACAAAGGAUGCACGGGAGUCAAUUGGAAGUCGAUGCAGGAGGAGCGUAGGAGAGAGAAGGCACUGUGCUAUAUGUUUUUUUUUUGUUAUUUAUGGUGCAUUGUUGGUGAGCGUGAUGAGUCCUAUCCUACAAUGAGACUUAUGAGCAGUUUGGGAGUGUACCCAAACUAAUUUUGGGUUGGGUUGAAGUGAACCCAUCACGCCUUUGGGUAGAAGGACAGGGUUAUCCCAUAUUUUUUAUUUGGUUGGAGAUAAACUGUGUCGGGGUUUGGAUUCAUGACACGUGGGUCCUGCAUGUCAGCCUUCUAUCAAUUCUUCUCCCAUGGGUCAUCCUUUGAUCGUCCCUGACACCGCCGCUCUCUGCUCCCACACUAUCGUGGCCCUCUACAACCAAUGCAUCUCGCUCGCGCAGCUCUCUUGGCUUGCCUGCGCAUGGGCACAAUUGCCACGUCUGGCCAUAGAAGAGACCGUGUUCCGACUAUCGGAUCCCUACGUCCAGCAAUGGUUGUUGUUUAUAUUCAAUUCGAGAGCACCCAAAUCAGGGGUUACAAUGAAAGAGAGUGAAUCGACACGAGAUCACUCGGUGCUAUCAAGCCUCGUUGGUGGCGAGGAAGAAGAAAUGUUCCCCUCUCUCACUGGAUUGCUAACCAUGCCUACAAAAAGGAUGGAUACAAAACUCCCCGAUUUCUAGGAAGCCCCUACAAUCGAUUUUCAAGCCGCCUCUACAAAUCAAUUUUCAGAAAUCAUGCGAUUUUAGGCUAAAAAAUAGGAACAAAAAGUGGCACCAUUGGUCCACCAACCCUUCCCCUCACACAUAUCUUCCUCUACCACUGCACCCUACACUCAAUGUGUCUAUAACCUAUUUUUGGCUUGCAGCAUAAGCCACAAUAUUUUUUGUACACUUUGUGGCCGACGGGAUUUGAACCCAUGACCUUCCCCUCACAUGUAUCCUCUUCUACCACUACACCUCACACUUAAUCUGUCUAUAAUCCAUUUUUGCACACUUCGUGGCCGAUGAAAUUCGAACCCAUGACAACCCUCCCCCCGCCUAGCACGUAUCCUCCUGUAUCACCUCACACUCAAUGUUUUUAUAAUCCAUUUUUGCUUCCCAAAAUAUUAUACCGAGCAUAAAUUGAUUGUCUGAGGCCCUAAACGAUUUCAUAUGAACAAGUUAUCAACUAUAAAGUUUCAUAACUUUUUUAUAUCUAUAACUUUCAUGUUGGUAAUUUUUCCAUCUGAGAUCGUUUCAAAAAUUUGAAUUUAAAAUUUACAAGAUUCAAACGUAAUUUUUCAUGAUAAGAUGAUAGCAAAUGAAAAAGCUAUCAACUAGAAAGUUUCAUAACUUUUCGAAAUCUACAACUUUCAAUUUUGCUAUUUGUCCAUCCGCGAUCGUUUAAAAAAUCAUAAUUUGAAAUUUUGAAAAUUUAAGCAUAGUUUUCUUGACAACAUGAUUUCGAUAACAAGUUAGUCAUCACCGAGUUCAUAUGAAGCCAACGGUCUGGCUUCCACGAUGGAUUUGUGGACCGAAGCAGACCGGCGUUAGACAUGUAGAUAUUAUGAGACUCGAAAUAGACGUCUUGCUAUUGAUGGAAAUAUCGCCUACCGCUGAAAGCACAACAACAUUAAAUCCCUAAAGUAUUUACUCCCAGGAGUUGAAAGAACUACUAAGGCCUUUGUAAACCACUAGGCUACAGACCUUUGUUUCUGUAAACAUGCAUGCUUACACCUCCUUGACACUAGAUCAAUCGGACAUGGCAAAAACGAGAUAAACUUUUUAUACAGUUUAUUUGUAAAUCGCGAGAUAAACUUUUUAAGUCUAGUUAGUCCAUGAUUGGACAAUAUUUACCAAAUAAAAACGAAAGUGCUACAAAACCAAAAAAAUUUAGGCACUAAACAAGGCCUGACUGUUAGAACACCCAUGGUCACUUGGUUCUGUAGUUUGACGAAGGCUGCCUGCACUGCCGUGAAGGCGACGGCAUCGAUUCCCCAUCAGAUCAGUGGGCAGAAGCAGCAGUGUAUUCUGGGUGUACACAGAUUAUUAUGCAUGCAUUUUGGGAAUUAUCGUUGUUCUGCAUCUGUACCUUGUGCUCGUAGGAGCACAAAACAGAGCUUGUUCUGUUUUCAGACAUUGUUCACUCUGCUUUCUUGAUGCUCCUCAAGUUGCUGUACCCAAGCCAAACUAGCAUACGAAUUAGCGGUCUCAUCCCAGCCAUCAAUCAAAUGCCCAUCGCCCACUUAGCAAGUCUUCCUGUUUGCUACCAACGGGGGCUUCACAUCUACCGUCGGUAUUAUUAUUUCCUCAUUCAAUCUCCUCCGUUAAACAAGUCAAAAUUCCCUUAUAUAUAGCAGCAAAGAAAUGGACGAAUAUUGGUAUCUUUUAUGACGAGAGCUGAUUGUGACAUCCAUCCAUUAUUAUUAUAUUAGCCUGCCGUGGAGCAUGCAUGGACGGACGACGCCACAGUAGACUGAACUGCAACGUCUGUUGAACACAACGUCUGUCUGUUGCAUGAUGAUGCUGAUGAUGGCUCACCCUGUUGAACCGUGGAAGCAAGUUCGGACUGAACUGCAGCAGCAAUUUACAAGCCCGUUUUGAUCGCGUGUGUUGGAAUGGAACCGCUCGUGCCCAGGCUCUGGAUGGAUGGUUUUCGGCUUCCCUGUGUCUCGCUCGCACUGCUACCAUCAUCUCGUGACUCAAACAUCAUGUAUGCCUGGCCUUGUUUAGUUCCUAAAAAAUUUUGCAAAAUUUUUCAGAUUCUCCGUCACAUCAAAUCUUUAGACGCAUACAUGAAGUAUUAAAUAUAGAUGAAAAUAAAACUAAUUGCACAGUUUGGUCGAAAUUGAUGAGAUGAAUCUUUUAAGUCUAGGUAGUACAUAAUUAGAUAAUAUUUGUCAAAUACAAACGAAAGUGUUACUAUUCCAAUUUUGUAAAAAAAUUUGGAACUAAACAAGGCCAACUUUCAUCUACGUUCCAGUGCUAGAUGGCUCCCCACACUAACUUGGCAUAAGUUGGCCAUACAUCAUUACAUUAUUUAAUUUACAGAGGAUAGACAUUGACCAAGGCUAGAGCCUCGCAUAGUCAGGGGUCACCUUCAUCCAACAAACACGCUGAGUCAGAUUUGUCGCGAUCAUUUUGGAAUAUAUAAUCCCAAAGCAUCUGAUUCCACUACUAAAGCUGAUGAUUCUUAUAAUAUAUUUUUUAUGAAAAAAUAAAAAAACGCAGGAAGUGGCCUACAUUGAAUGCACAAAAUAUUGUUUCCACACAGUACAAAGAUAGAUUGCACAAUCGUCUUUGUGCCUGCUUGGAUUCCACCACUAAUCGAACGAAGCUGCCUGGCACUUUCCUUCUCACCUUGCACUGUCACCACACGACCCACUCCAACCACCACCUUCUUCCCUGAAUCAUCACCAUUUUCCUUCCCAGCUUCAAGCAGCCAAACGGAAGACACCAACCAGCUACUGCGAUUCUUGCGGACAACUUGACUCCAUGCAUGUUGCUGCUCAACCUUUCAUCACUAACGGGCAUGCCACAAUCCAGCAGUAGCAUCUGGUUGGUCAGGUCGGCGAUGUCCAUGCUGAUUCCUGCCUAGCCAUUGACCAAUAAUACAUCCUGUUGUUGCAACGCCUCUCCGCUUCCGGCCAUUGCUCAGCUCAUCGGACUCAGGUUUGUUUCCUUAACCGUUACGUUUCUGCAGUGGCUUAUGCUUAGCAAGAUCUGCCCAUAUAGCUACUGCCCCCAGUGACCCACCGGCACGGCACAGUCCAGCAGUAGUAUAAGGUGGGUCAGGUCGAAGAUGUCCAUACUGAUACCUGUCUAACCAUUAACUAAGAUCGAGAUCCUACUCCACGACCAAGCUAGAACGAACAACAGUGGCACUGCCUCACCAAUUCUGGCCAUUGCACAGCUCGUCAACUUGAGGUUUGUUUCCUUAACCGUUACGUUUCUGCAGCUAGUUGUGCACAGAUAGUGCCCACUGUGUUGUAAUUGUUAUAUGUCUCUGCAGCUGCUUAUGAGUAUCUAGAUCUGUGUAUAUAGUUGCCACUGUCAUGUACUUGUAUCAAUAAUGAACGAGAAGUCAGUACUAGUGCCGCGAUGGCUGCAUGUACAGAUGGCAGAUGAUUGAAUCUUUGUUGUAUAAAAUUGAAAUGCAGUGUUGAAAUUAACAUCUGUUCUAAUUUCGUUACAGCAAAAACGGAAGUUCCCAAUCAUGGCCGGUGUCCUAGAUGCUUUGGCAUCCUACAUCCAAAACAUGCUUCUGCAGAUGGCGGCAGAAGAGGUGCAUAUGUUGCUUGGGGUGUCCGGUGAGAUUGACAACAUGGACAUCAAGCUUCGGGAUCUAAAGAACAUCCUUGCUGAUGCUGAUAGGAGGAACAUCACUGACAAAAGCGUCCUAGCAUGGGGGAUAGAGCUAAGGAAUGCUAUGUAUGAUGCCACUGAUAUCCUCGACCUUUGCAAGCUCAAGGCUAUGGAGCAAGGCCAAAGGCAUGAUGCCGGAUGCUUCAACCCGUUGCUCUUCUGCAUACGGAAUCCCCUACAUGCCCACGAUAUUGGAAGCCGCAUCAAGAACCUUAACAAGAGGCUAGACGACAUCAAGGCACGUGGUGCAUCAUUCAACUUCCUGAACCUUAGUACUUAUGAGGAUCGUGGAAGAAAUGUGAUAUCAUAUGGUUCUAGUACCCGUGAGACAUCGGGGGGCCUUGUUGAGUCUGGUUUGGUUGGUGAGAAGAUUGAAGAGGACACAAUAAAUCUUGUGGAGAUGCUAACAAAGAAGUAUCCUACCGACGACAACAAAUCCAACAAAAUAAUGGUUUUCUCUAUUGUGGGAGCUGGUGGGAUUGGUAAAACCACCCUUGCUCAAAAGAUCUUCAACAAUGAAGUCAUAAAGGAUGAGUUCAAAAAGAAAAUAUGGUUGAGUGUCAACCAAGGCUUUGAUGAUAUUGAAAUGUUAAGGAGGGUUAUUAUCGAAGCUGGUGGAAACCACCAUGAUUGUGGAAAUGCAAAGGUGUCACUAGAACACACUCUAAUAGAAGCUUUGAAGGGACAAAAAACCUUAUUAAUAAUAGAUGAUGUCUGGGACAGCCGUAUAUGGGAAGGCGUGCUUAGAACUCCCUUUGUCAAUGCCAUGCUAGCUGAAGGUAGCCGUGUGCUGGUCACCACAAGGCAUGACACAGUGGCACGUCAGAUGAAGGCGGAGGAGCCCUACCAUCGUAUUGACAGACUUGGGCUUGAAGAUGCAUGGAUGCUGCUCAAGAAGCAGGUUCAAGUUAAUCCAUACAUUUAUUACUUUUCAUUAAUCAUGCGUUAUGUUUUCUAGCUGCAUCACUUUAUUUGCUUCUAUCUUAGUAGUGGGAACUAGAUUCCCUGUCUUGGCAGCAACUUCUAUUUUUCUUCUUUGUUUCAACCAUGUAGUUCUAUGGUUGUGACCUUCGAAAAAUAAGAUAAAGAAACAAAAUGACAUACUUCCUUGCGUUAGCAUUGUAAUAUCUUGCAUAUGCAGUCAUGUAGACUCCACAUAUAGUGCAGGUAUUCACUUUUUUUGUUAAAGCAAUUCAAAAUUGGACAUUGUAUUACACUCCCUCCUUUUUUUAAAAGAACUUGAGAUCUGUAGGUUCGAUUGGAUCUGUAAUUGGCUGUAAUGUAGGCAAUAUGAAAUGGCGAAUUAGUAACUAAUUUAAAUUCACAAACUAAGGAAACCAUAAUAAGUAUGUUUAUCACUAUUCUUUUUAGAGUAAAAUAAAAAAAAGGUCUUUGAAGUUAUUCUGUAUGAUGUUGUCUGAUCCUCAAACUCUCAAAAUGCUUGCAUUGUGAGGUUAUAGAAAUUGUCCUUGUAUGGAAUGUAAGUCCCAAGCCCUUAUAAUGCUACUUUCAUCCACAGGACUUGUCACGUGUUGUCAUCUAGUCUUGUUCUUAAUGAGCCCUAACACACUAUACACCCUCAUGUGGCAUGUCACAAUUGAUCCAUUUGUGGUUCAGUAUUGAUGAGUAGUCUAACACGAGGUUAUGUAUAUCACACAUAUUGGGCUGUUGCACUAUAUCCGAGCGAAGAGAGAGAGAGGGGGAACUCGGGAUGGUGGUCCAAAGGCCAACAUAUAUGUGUGGUGCCCAUAGAUAGAAUCGACUAGUACAGAUAUUAUGAGACAUAUAGGUAGCAUUUGGUUAGGAGAUAAGGUGGGAUGGAAGAAUGAUCUUGUCUCUGGUUGGAGGGAUGCAGUGACCCUAUUUUCUUUUUGGUUGGAAAGCGAUGGGACCAAUUUGUUUUCUAUUUGGUCUUAGAUAUAAUAACUCAAAUCAUGUGGGUCCCAUUUGGCAGUUUUAAUUCUCUUUUUCUUCCUCCUCUCCUUACCUUGUUCACGAACUGUAGCCACCCAAAGGACUCGCAAGUGCGACACCCUCUGCCUCCUCCCGUUGAGUCGGCCAUGGCUUAUGCCACCUGCUUCAUGUGUAGCCACCCAAAGGACUCGCGCACGGUGGCUCCUAAAAGGUUGCACGACGGCAGCCUCUGAGCUCACGCGUGGAGGCUCCUCUUAUCUCGGCACAGUGGUGCCCCCCCAAGGUCAUGCAAGGCGGCAAUCUCCCGAGCUCGCGCGAUGGUGGCCCCCUGUGCUCCUCGUCUUCAUUGACCUCCCGUAUGUGCACCUCCUCUUGUCUUCUUCCUCACCAGUGAGUGGGCUUGUCCCACCUCAGGUGACCCCCUGUUCGUCAAAUUUCUGCACAAGCACGCAUGUGAGCAACUAUCGUGGUCGUGUAGCCACCAUGCUUGCGCAGCCAAAUAGAAUUGGGGUAUGAAAUAGUUUAAGGAUCUAAAUGUACAGUUUUACAUUUAGUGAUCUGAUAGAAGAUGCCGUAGUUUAGAGACUAUGGGUGUAAUUUGCUCUAUGACAAUGGUUGGAAUCGCUUCCAAUCGCCUCCCAUCGCCUCCGCUAAAAACUUUUUUCUUGAUUUAAUUUGUGGAAGGGUAAUAACAUCAUUGUACAAGGUUCUCUGAAACCCCAACCCCUAUCAUCGGCAGCGACGGCUCCCUGUAACACGCAUUGGUGGACGCAGACGGGUGGAACUCAUAGAAGAUUUAAAAAAACUUAAGAAGAAGAUUUUUAUCUAACUAGCUAUAGUACUUGAAUCAAACAUCCUAUCUAUGUUACUCAAAAUAUUACUUUUACAAUUAUGAAUUUACCCUUUUACCCUUCAUUAAAAAAGAAAUACAAAAGGAGAAAUUACCGCUCCUCUAUUUAGGGUCUUAAUUCCUAUAAUUUUGGAGGCGAUGGGAGGCAAUGUGACAUCUAUGGCCCACCGACCAUAGACACACCUAUUGCCUCCCAUCACCUUGCUUCCAUCGCUUUGCUUCUCAUCGCCUCUCCAACCAUUGUAAAAAUAUUAAUUAUAGUAUUAUUACUGGACGUACGUGUAUGUGGAGAAGGCAUUGCUUAUGAAUUGUAUACAACAGUAUUUAAAAUUGAUUUUUGAACGUGAAGCUGGUGGAAGCGUGAUAUAUAGCAAAGAAUCCACAUACCAACGCUAAACUCAUGGUGGCAAUUAAUGUACAUGCUUUGUAAACUGCAAUUGCCCACUGGGUGAAAUCUAAGGAAGAGUGGGCCAAGAAACUAAUAUUAGACCUAGUACCACUUAGAAUAUUAAUUAUUUUAUAACAAAAUUUGAAACUAAACCAACCGCAUUUGUUGGGAGUAGACUAUACAGCUUUCAACCGUUUAUUUGUAUUGGAAUGCACGAGGAUAUUACAUGCUGAGUUAUUAGUGUAGUGUACUGGCACAGUAGCGUAUAUAUGGAUGUGUGUCACUUGUAAUGGAAACAAUUAUUUCUAAUAUUUUUGCUUGGCCAUACGUACGUUUGUGCGCACCUUCUAGUGAGCAUUCUUCCUCAAUGUUGAGUUUUGUUUGCACGAGCACUGUAGCUUUAUUACACAGAAUUUCUAUCGACUAUUGCGUCAACCCAUGUUCUGGCAUGGGCUCGAAUUUUAUGAGAUAUAAGUAUUAAGUAUUGUUCUGGUCAUUUCAAAUUAUAAACCAUUUUGGCUAUUAAAGAUAUAUUAUUUUUCAUUGUACCUAACAGUAUAUCUAAGUGUAUAGAAAAAACUAUAUACUUUCGAAACAUGUUAUAAUUUGAAAUGCGCGGAGUAGAUCUGAAUAAUAAUGAAAUAGUCAUAAAUUAUAUGUUUUUCUCUUUGUCUAAUCUCUAACAUAAUAGACAUGAUAGAUACUCUAUAGUCUAUAUCUAGUUAUCAUAAACUUAUUAGUUACUAUUUUUUCAACAAACUAAUCUAUAUAUUUUUAUCCAUAUUACUUCAAAUAUGCAAUUACUUUGAAACCUUACCAUUAAUCACGGUGGCUCUUGUUUUGUUAUGUAUCAAAUUUCUUAUUGACUGCAUCAGAUUUAUUUUUUCUCUCCUUAAGUUAAGUUGAACCCCUUAUGCUUAUUGUAUCUUUCAUUAACUCUUCUUUUUGUAUUUUUGAAAUAAGAAUUUUAGGACAUAGUUUACAUUCUUAGGAACUACAAUAGCAUAAGACAUCAUUUGAAACAUACACCAUAUUGCUUAAGAUAAGCCACAGAGCUUGAAGUGAGUUCACAAACAUGAUGGCUAAGGAAAUAUUAACCUCAAGAGAAUUUUUUAUUCUAUUGCUAAGGAAAUAACUUUUUUGUGAUUAAACAUAACAUAUUUAUUCCAUUGCUCAUGCAUGAUGGCAUUACGUGUAUAUUUACUUUAAUCAAAUCUUACUAUAUGUGUUUUAUGAGAAUUUCUAGGAUCUAUCUUUUGUUUUCCUAUCAAGUCUUGUGACGAUUAACAUGCAAGCUCUAGUAGAAACGUCUUGUUAGAAUUUAUAGUAUUUAUCUUUUUUCUAGUGUGAUAUGUAUUUAGUUGAAAACUAAACUUAAGAUAUAUAAACUCUUGAUACAACUCUUUUUUGACAUUGCAAAUCUACAUUUAUCUUUUAACUUUGAAUUAAAUUGUUGCAAUUUCUUCACAUGUUAAUUAGAAAUUCUGGUAUUCUUUAUCUUUUAUUCAAAAAUCAUUUUUUAUUAUAACGAAUAUAGGUCCAGUAGUAUUGUUUUCCACAUAUGCUAAAAUUUGGCUUGCAUUCUGACAGUAAACAUGUUCAAUUUGUUAUGUCAUACGAUUAUGUGUUGUAUUAUUGAUAUAUCAUAUUGUGCAUAAAUUUAAGUUGACAAUAUUGAUAUGACAUAAUGUUUCAGUAAAAACAUAUAAACUUGUUUAAAAUAAUAAUUAUUGAAUUUAUUAUCACGGAGUAUAGAUAUAAAGUGUUAUUGCUACAUCGUUUGCUAUGUGAACAUUUUUCAAUGUUUCAUAACUUUUAAAAUAAAUGUUAUCCAAAUUUAUACAUGUUUAUUUGAUAUACAUGGUGCAACAUUGCAUUUAGUUAUUUUAUUUCACGAUUAUUGAAUUAUGCAAUUUAGAAAUAUAUACAUGUACCAUACUUUUUGUUAAUAUUGAUAUUUUUAAUAGUAUAUAUUACUAUUUACAUGUCAAUUUUAGAUAUGUUUUGUUUAUCUUCAAUUCUGGCUAAGGUACAUACAAAAAUAAAUUUAAUACCUUGCAUUAUAUUUCACAAAGACAUAAAUGGAUAGGUUCAACACAAACAUAGAAUAUUAAUUUGCAUUAUUUUUCAUAAUGAUAAAGGUGGGAGAAUUUAUAAUUAGGAGGCAUUUUAAAUUAUGUUCCAUAAGGGUAUAUUGGGUAGUUUAGAUACAAAGUUAGAAUAUUAUUUUUUAUUAUCUUUCACAAUGACAAAAGCAAGGUAAUUUAGACACAAUUUUAGGGGUUUAUUUAAAUUAUGUUUCAUAAUCGCCAACGUGGGUAAUUUAGAUGAAAAAUCAGGGAGUGAUUUUGAAUUAUUUUUUAUGAUGACAUACAUGGGUAAUUUAUAUACAAAUAUAGAGGGUUAUUUUGAAUUAUCUUUUGUAAUGUCACAAUUGGGUAAAUUAAAUGCAAAAUUCGGGGUUACUUUAUUGUAUUUUCAUAACGGCAGUAGUGGGUAAUGUUUUAUAAACUAUAAUAGAUGCAAUGGCUAUUAUCACUGAUGAUAUUAGAGUUUAUCAAAUGAAAGGCUAGAUGUUUUUUAUUAUUGUCAUAAUUUGGAGGAUUUAUCUUUUUACUAGCAUUUUGUUAUGUCUCUGUUGGGGUCUCUAAUUAGAAUUUAUAGGAUUUAUCUUUUCUAGUUUCUGGUGAGAAUUAACGUGGUGUCUCUGUUGGGGCUUCUAAUUAGUAAUAACUAGGAGGAUUCCCCGCGCUUUGCUGCGGGUAUGAAAGAGGAAUAUAAAUAUGGUCUCACUAUAGUCUAUUAUGUCAUCUAUAUAUAGUUUUAGUAGUCAGUUUCAAAAGAGAAAGAGAGGAGAUCACGUGAGAAAAUAAUUGCUAGCAGUAUGCAUGCAUGGUCAUGUGUAGGUAGUUGCAUCCACUGCUGGAACCAUUUGUGAGUGGGCUAAAUUGCAUGCAGCAGCAGAAGAAGUGGAUGAUGAUGCAGCAGAAGAAGUGAAACUUUUUGGAUCUAAACAAUGCCUUAGUUGCAUAUGCAUAAAGUAUAAUAUAAAAAAGGAUGACCAAUAAUUGUGUGCUAGAGAUCCCAUUUCUUCUUGAUGUGCUUUGCAUUGGUAGCAUAUCACAACACUGCACGGUAAAUUAUUUUUUGUCUAAUUGGCCUGAAAUUCUUGCAGGCUGUCAGAGAUGUGAAUGAUGAGCCGCAGGUUGAAAAUUUAAAGGAUAUUGGCUUGAUACUUGUAAAAAAAUGUGAUGGUUUACCUCUUGGGAUCAAAGUAAUGGGAGGUCUCCUGAGUCGGAAAAGGAUAACACGAACCGACUGGCAAAAGGUCUUAGAUGAUUCUCUAUGGUCAAUAUCACAAAUGCCUGAAGAGCUAAAUUAUGCAGUAUAUCUUAGCUAUGAAGAUCUAGACCCUUGUUUGAAGCCUUGUUUUUUGCACUACUCCCUCCUCCCUAGGGGUACAGUUUUUUUUGUUCAUGAAAUUGUUGGAAUGUGGAUUGGUGAAGGAUAUGUUCAUGGAACAUUACGUGACGACCUAGAAGAAAUAGGAAGGGAAUAUUAUAAUGAGUUAAUACAGCGGAACCUUAUUGAGCCAGAUAUCAAGUUUAUUGAUCAAAGUGUUUGCAACAUGCAUGAUGUUGUCCGGUCAUUUGCUCAGAACAUGUUCCGAGACGAAGCACUCAUAACUCACAAUAGUAGAAUUGGGAUUGACAAGCUUAAAGCACAAAAGUUUAUGCGGUUAUCUCUCGAAAGCAAACAAUCGGAACAAUCUGAUUUGGAGUGGUGUUCUCUACAAACACAAAUGUCACUGAGAACAAUGCUUUUAUUUGGUAAUAUAAAGAUUCAACCAGGUGAUUCAUUUCGUUCUUUUUCAAGUCUCCGAACACUACACUUGGGCAGUGUAAAUAUUGUUGCAAUACCCGAAUCUUUGUAUCAGCUGAAACAUCUGAGGUAUCUGUCAAUAGAAAACAGUAAUAUAUCUAAGUUAUCAGAAGACAUUGGCAAGUUGAAAUUCUUGCAGUUCAUUAGCCUUUUUGGUUGUCCGAGUUUGACCAAGCUUCCCAGUAGCAUUGGACUGCUACAUGACUUGAGGUAUCUCUGUCUUCACAGAACAAAUAUAAGUGUUGUACCAAGGGAUUUUUGUGGUCUAACUUCUUUGAGGAAAUUAUAUGGAUUUCCAGCCCACAUGGACUGUGACCGUUGUAGUUUGGAGGAACUUGGGCCUCUCUCCCAGCUAACUGAACUUAAUAUCAGUUUCUUGGAGAAUGUAGCUUCUUCCUCAUCUGCUAUACAGGCCAAACUUGGUGGAAAGAAGCGCCUAAGGUAUCUCUCACUGGGUUGCACCAGUAGACUUGGAGAUGAUGGCCUGUUGGUAAAAAAGGAAGAAGGGAUCUCUGAGAAAGCCAAGAGACAAAUCGAGGAGGUCUUUGAUGAGCUCUGCCCUCCGCUUGGCUUAGAAAACCUUAACAUUGAAGGGUAUUUCGGUGAGCGGCUCCCAAGAUGGAUGAUGUCAGCAGCAGCAGUUAUGCCGCUUAGGAGCUUGAGGACUGUUACGAUGGACAACUUGGCCUGCUGCACAGAGCUUCCUAGUGGCUUGAGUCAGCUCCCCUGCUUGGAGCUUCUGCAGAUUGUUCGUGCCCCAGCCAUCAAGUGUGUUGGGCAUGAAUGGCUACAACCAAACAAUCAAUUAGGUUUUGCGUUUCCCAGACUGCAGGAGCUGCACUUUGAGGGAAUGGUCGAAUGGGAGGAAUGGGAGUGGGAGGAACAAGUGAAAGGCAUGCCUAUCUUGGAGUUGCUUAAACUGAAAAUGUGCAAGUUGAGGCGUGUGCCACCAGGCCUGGCCUUCCACGCAAGGGCUUUGAAGAAGUUAUGUAUAUAUGGUGUGAAGCAUCUAAGCUCUUUGGAGAACUUUGCUUCUGUGGUCCACCUGGACGUGUUUAGAAACACUCACCUGGAGAGGAUCAGUAAUCUACCAAAACUGCAGAAGCUCGUCAUCGUCAUGUGCCCAAAGCUGAAGGUAGUGGAUGGCAUGCCUGCACUCCAGAGACUCAAUCUGGAGGAUUAUGACAUGGAAACAGUCCCCAGGUAUCUGCAGGAUGUAAACCCAAGGCAUUUGCUGCUGCAUUGUUCCAUAUCGCUGCUCACAUGCAUAGCAGCAGGGAAAUCUGGUCCUCAGUGGGACAAGUUCAGCCACAUCCAGCAAGUCAAAGCUGCAAAUGAAGAAGGCUGUCCAAGGAAGUGGUAUGUGCUCUACACAAGGAACCCUUACCGCUUCGAGACAAAUAUCAGCCGCUCUGCUAUUGCCCAAGGUAAAUUAACACAGCCGCCUUCCAAUGUAAUUUAUUUUUUGGCACUCUGUUUUCCUCGGUUUCCUUCAAUCAGUUCAAUUCAUCUUCUGCAGCUCACGGACGCCGCAUAUGGCUUGCUUACUCGGAAACAUGUCCCAUUGAAGAUGAGUGGCCCACAGGAGGACACACGUAUGUAGAAAAACGUAUGCCCCUCUGCGUACGCUUCAGGUAAAAAAGUUGGCUACACGUUGAUUGCUUCCCUCUGUUUCAGUAAUUGUGCAUGCUUACACCUCCUUGACACGUGAUUAAUUGAACAUGGCAAGUUCUUUACCAUUUCAUUUCGUCCGUGCAACGUAUUUUUGCAACAUGUGCAGGUGCAACGCCUAUCGCCACUUGAAUGGCUGGUUUGAUGAAGCGUGCCUGCACUGCCAUGAAGCCGACAACAUCGCUUCCCCAUCUGAUCAGUGGACCCAAGGAGAAGUGCUUUCAGCCCGUAUAAAGACUGUUUGGGCAUGAGUGGAGGAAACGUCUUUAGUUUAGUGUGAGUAUGUGCAUCUUGGCUAUUCCUUGAUCUGCUUCUGUACCUUGUGUAUAAGAUCCUCAGCUUGUGUAUGUUCAUUUUACUGCUUAUUAGGGGCUUGUGUUCGAUCUUAUACUGUAACAUCUAGAAUACGUUUAUUGCGUUAGAAGUGUAAAGUGGUAAAAUAAUAAUAAUUGUAAUUUUAUCCAUCACUCAAAUGAAUGAUCAGAGAUUUUAGAUGCGUAGAGCUCGUCGAAUGCUUUCAGUUGCACUACUCAUAUGUAUUGUUUGGAAUUUGGAUCAUGGAGAUAUAAAUUUCAGAAGUUUUAAGAAAGAAAAAAUAAACAGGACCUUUUACUGUAGUGUGACGCGUGGUGGCCUUUUAUAUCCGCUCCAAGGCCUUUAGGUUCCAUCCAUAGCUUUUCAUAUUCAGGAUAAAAAAAAAGAGGAGAGGGGAGAAAAGAGAAAGGAGAAGAGAGAAGGGGAGGAUAGGGCCUAGGGUUUUGCCGCCGUCGUAGCCGCCGCCGCCGCUGUCGGUCAUCCGUGGUGGUCGUUCUUCCUUCCGUGGAAAAUACGGUUUGGUUCUACCUUGUAUCUUGGCUGUCCCAUUGAUCUACCAUGUCCCUUUUACUGUCCAUGAGGGCUUAGCCAUGUUUGGCGUAGAUCGGAAUAACAAGGCUUUUAUGGCGGCAAGGAUCGUGGCGAGUUGGAUCGGAGAUAAUGGAAAGGUGAAGAGGCGGAGAAGAAGGAGUAGACGCCAGGAGUUUCGGCGUCGUGCUCGCUGUGGUUCUCUAGGUGAGAAGCCAAAUAUUAAUCCCCUUCAUCUGAUCAAGUUUUGCGGAUUAAAUCGCUUAUUUGGGAUUGGGUUUAGUGGAGAAAUUCUUGAAGUCAUUUUCGUUCAUGUCCUGAAAUUCUCGUCAGACUGAGCAGUCACUGUUCAUCGUAAUGUUAUGGCAUUUUAGAGGCUUUAAUAAUUUUUGAGCCUGUGGACAAAGUUGUAGAGGACUUCAUUAUCUUUCUUUGGACGCCAAGAACUCUGUCAGAGCAGUUAUAUUUUGUGAGAUAUCGAGUUUUCAAUCUGACUGUUUUCCAGUGACGAAAAUCUGGACAGUUUUGGAUCUAAACAGUUUUUGACCCUGUUAAUGAAAUAAUUAGGUCUUUGAUUAUUAACAAAUGUUUUAGGAUUUUUGUUAAGCUUUCUAGAUUGGUAAAGUUUGUAACUUUUGAAUAAGUAUAUCACCAGUUAUGAAUUUUUGAAGUUUGAUGUUCUGUUUUGAAGGUCAGAAAUAUUCAGUUGUGUUCUAUGGUUAAUUAUACCAUCUUGCAGAUCUCUGAUGCAAAACCUUACAAUACAAAAGUUGUAUAUAACAGAGUUUUACAUGAUCUGAUAAAUUAUGGUAAUUUUUGGAUGAGUAUUCUGAAGUAUAUGAAAAAGAGAAGAGUCGGUGCUGCUGUCUUGAUCGGUAGCGCAAACGGUAGAGGCUUGAAUGUCGGGUUUGGGGCGCAUUAGUGCGUAUUUGUUCUUACUCUUGCUUGUAUGUUGGUGUAUGUACUGAGUAGUAUUUGUGAUCAGGUGGUAGCACUUCAGAACAUCGCUAGUGUUUUUGUUCUCCUUCGGUAAAGUGGCAAGUGAAUGUAGCGGUGGUUUGCUACCGUUUUGGCUUGUUAUUUUUAUCACCUACAGUUUAUUGUCUAUAAGAAUGUCAUCCCUCUCAUAUCUAAAAUUUAUGAUUUUGGUAUAUUUAGUCUUAGUUAAAUUGUGGUCUUAUUUAAGUAUUUAUGGUGAUGGUAUUAUUUUAUAUUGUUAUUUGUGGCUAGCCCACAAACUUGAAUUUGAAGUCGGAGUAUCAUUGGUGAUUUAUUAAUUUUAUUGCAACAUGCCAAGUGCAUUGCAUCAUUCAUUGGCAUUGGAAGUUAUGUCUUGACCUAUGGUCAUGACUGUACCGGUAUGCAUCAUGGGAUGCAGCUCCACACCUUGUUGGGUGUGCAGGCAGGAGACAUAUGCAUUGCAUUCAUAUGCAUUCAUGAGAAGUAUGUUAUUGAAGAGAUUUUAUCCACGUUAUUAUGAAGCUCUGUAUUAUUGGCUAUGUUCCAAAUUGGAAGACUGUUACUUUUAGUAUGAUAUUAUGUCAAUUGAGAACAUCAUAUUAAAUUGAUGUUAAUUCAAAUUGUGGUUUCAAUAGCUUGUCAAAACAAGUUCGCUUGCUGAGAUGUUUCGUCUCACCCUUGCUUUACUCAAUCCAGGUACUUGAUGCUUACUUGGAAGGAAAGGGACUUAGCUGCACGUCACACACUUAUUCAUUUAGAGACCUUGUGUUUUAAUAAAUAAUAAUUUGGUUUGCUUAUUGGUUUUGAAGGCGGUUGUUAAAGUGUGGGUGUUAAACUUAAUUCUUGUUGAAGUAACUUAUUUGCGUUAGGAUGUUCAUUAAUCCUAGUUUGGUAUUUCAGUAUUUUUUUUUAUAUUUUAUUCUUCCGCUUGCUAUAAAUACAAAGAAGAUACUGUCAAAUUGUUUAUGGUUGUGUGCAGCUGUUGUUUGUGUAGUCUAGUAGCAUCCCGGUGUAUUUGUGGUUUUCGGGGUGUUACAUAUACAGUAUGGACACAUGCCACAUUGCAGAAAUAAAUGUUCUAUCUGCUACUGAACAUGUACACAGAUUGCAAAAUUAUAUGUUCUGUAAUUUCACUAUUUUAUCAGGCUUACGAUAGUGAAUGGUAAACUGGUUGUGAUGUCAUCAAUGGACUCAUGGCACACUGCAAAUACAUAUGUGUUACAUUUCUUAUGAACUUUUAUGUUUUUUUAUUCUGGAUUGGAGCAUGCUCGCACUCCAAAUCCUCCAAUAGCCCUUUGCUCAGUGGAGACAAAUCUAUAACCAGGUGUGCCCGGAGGAUAUCCCAGCUGCCCGUAACCAAAUUCCUCCAAUUACUAGUUUCCUGGGCUCCCUGGAAAUACCAGAAUAUUGUGGUGUCCAACCACCUCCUGCUGUCAAUGAGAAAGCUGGCACCUUCGAUAUCACUCUUGCGAUCUUGGCGAGCAGGUCACUGACAUCUUGGUGGGCACCAUUAGUUUUUGUUUUUAUUUAAAUUUAAUGCUCUAUACAUGUACCGUAAGAUUCGAUAUGACGAAAAAUCUUAAAAAAAUACAAAUUUUUUUUGGAAGCCCUAGGCACCCCAAACCAGGUGAGGUCACACGGGCCUAUGCGAGAUCCGGCGUGCCAGCAAACUGGCUCCUAACAGAGUGUUCGAUGACAGAAUAAUUCCCAUCCCCGCCAAUACCAGUCCUAUCCAUGAAAAGGCGAAGAAGGCCCACGUCGGCAUGCUCUGUCGCUAGUCCCCACUAGCGCCUUCUGCGGGUCCCGUCAUCAGUCCUCGCUGAUCGGUCUCUCAUCUUCUCCACCGGGACCCCUCGCCGCCGUCUCCUCUGCCUCUCAUCUUCUGCAACAACGGGUAGGCAAAGAGGUGGCAUGUGUGGCUCGCCGGCCGUUGAGCCGAGGCAGAGCGCGCGUCUCGGCAUCAAAGACAAAGGAUGCACGGGAGUCAAUUGGAAGUCGAUGCAGGAGGAGCGUAGGAGAGAGAAGGCACUGUGCUAUAUGUUUUUUUUUUGGUUAUUUAUGGUGCAUUAAUUGUUGGUGAGCGUGAUGAGUCCUAUCCUACAAUGAGACUUAUGAGCAGUUUGGGAGUGUACCCAAACUAAUUUUGGGUUGGGUUGAAGUGAACCCAUCACGCCUUUGGGUAGAAGGACAGGGUUAUCCCAUAUUUUUUAUUUGUGCCUUGUUUAGUUCCAAAAUAUUUUGCAAAAUCGACACUGUAGCUUUUUCGUUUGUAUUUGACAAAUAAUAUCCAAUCAUAGACUAACUAGGCUCAAAAGAUUCGUUUCGUCAAUUUCGACCAAACUAUGCAAUUAGUUUUUAAUUUUAUCUAUAUAUAAUACUUCAUGCAUGUGUCUAAAGAUUCGAUGUGACGGGGAAUCUGAAAAAUUUUGCAAAAUUUUUUGGGAACUAAACAAGGCCUUGGUUGGAGAUAAACUGUGUCGGGGUUUGGAUUCAUGACACGUGGGUCCUGCAUGUCAGCCUUCUAUCAAUUCUUCUCCCAUGGGUCAUCCUUUGAUCGUCCCUGACACCGCCGCUCUCUGCUCCCACACUAUCGUGGCCCUCUACAACCAAUGCAUCUCGCUCGCGCAGCUCUCUUGGCUUGCCUGCGCAUGGGCACAAUUGCCACGUCUGGCCAUAGAAGAGACCGUGUUCCGACUAUCGGAUCCCUACGUCCAGCAAUGGUUGUUGUUUAUAUUCAAUUCGAGAGCACCCAAAUCAGGGGUUACAAUGAAAGAGAGUGAAUCGACACGAGAUCACUCGGUGCUAUCAAGCCUCGUUGGUGGCGAGGAAGAAGAAAUGUUCCCCUCUCUCACUGGAUUGCUAACCAUGCCUACAAAAAGGAUGGAUACAAAACUCCCCGAUUUCUAGGAAGCCCCUACAAUCGAUUUUCAAGCCGCCUCUACAAAUCAAUUUUCAGAAAUCAUGCGAUUUUAGGCUAAAAAAUAGCAACAAAAAGUGGCACCAUUGGUCCACCAACCCUUCCGCUCACACAUAUCUUCCUCUACCACUGCACCCUACACUCAAUGUGUCUAUAACCUAUUUUUGGCUUGCAGCAUAAGCCACAAUAUUUUUUGUACACUUUGUGGCCGACGGGAUUUGAACCCAUGACCUUCCCCUCACAUGUAUCCUCUUCUACCACUACACCUCACACUUAAUCUGUCUAUAAUCCAUUUUUGCACACUUCGUGGCCGAUGAAAUUCGAACCCAUGACAACCCUCCCCCCGCCUAGCACGUAUCCUCCUGUAUCACCUCACACUCAAUGUUUUUAUAAUCCAUUUUUGCUUCCCAAAAUAUUAUACCGAGCAUAAAUUGAUUGUCUGAGGCCCUAAACGAUUUCAUAUGAACAAGUUAUCAACUAUAAAGUUUCAUAACUUUUUUAUAUCUAUAACUUUCAUGUUGGUAAUUUUUCCAUCUGAGAUCGUUUCAAAAAUUUGAAUUUAAAAUUUACAAGAUUCAAACGUAAUUUUUCAUGAUAAGAUGAUAGCAAAUGAAAAAGUUAUCAACUAGAAAGUUUCAUAACUUUUCGAAAUCUACAACUUUCAAUUUUGCUAUUUGUCCAUCCGCGAUCGUUUAAAAAAUCAUAAUUUGAAAUUUUGAAAAUUUAAGCAUAGUUUUCUUGACAACAUGAUUUCGAUAACAAGUUAGUCAUCACCGAGUUCAUAUGAAGCCAACGGUCUGGCUUCCACGAUGGAUUUGUGGACCGAAGCAGACCGGCGUUAGACAUGUAGAUAUUAUGAGACUCGAAAUAGACGUCUUGCUAUUGAUGGAAAUAUCGCCUACCGCUGAAAGCACAACAACAUUAAAUCCCUAAAGUAUUUACUCCCAGGAGUUGAAAGAACUACUAAGGCCUUUGUAAACCACUAGGCUACAGACCUUUGUUUCUGUAAACAUGCAUGCUUACACCUCCUUGACACUAGAUCAAUCGGACAUGGCAAGUUGUUUAACAUUUCAUCCCGUGUAACGUAUUUUUAGUUUUUUUUGCACCAUGUGCUGGUACAACGCCCAUCGUCACUCGGGUUUGAUGAAGCCUGGUUUAGUUCUAAAAAAAUUUGUAAAAUGAACACUAUAGUACUUUCGUUUGAAUUUAACAAAUAUUUUCCAAUCAUGUGCAAUUAGUUAUUUCUUUUAUCUAUAUUUAAUAUUUUAUGCAUGUGCCGCAAGAUUCGAUGUGACAGAGAAUCUAAAAAAUUCUGCAAAAUAUUUUGAAAGUAAACAAGCCCCAAGCCUGCCUGCACCGCCUUGAAGGCGACGGCAUCGAUUCCCCAUCGGCCAUCAGUGGGCUGAAGCAGCAGUGUAUUCUGCGUGUACAUUAUGUAUUUUGGGCAGUUUCGUUGAUCUGCAUCUGUACCUUGUGCUCGUAGGAGCACCAAACAGAGCUUGCUCUGUUUUCAGACAUUGUUCACUCUGCUUUCUUGAUGCUCCUCAAGUUGCUGUACCCAAGCCAAACUAGCAUACGAAUUAGCGGUCUCAUCCCAGCCAUCAAUCAAAUGCCCAUCGCCCACUUAGCAAGUCUUCCUGUUUGCUACCAACGGGGGCUUCACAUCUACCGUCGGUAUUAUUAUUUCCUCAUUCAAUCUCCUCCGUUAAACAAGUCAAAAUUCCCUUAUAUAUAGCAGCAAAGAAAUGGACGAAUAUUGGUAUCUUUUAUGACGAGAGCUGAUUGUGACAUCCAUCCAUUAUUAUUAUAUUAGCCUGCCGUGGAGCAUGCAUGGACGGACGACGCCACAGUAGACUGAACUGCAACGUCUGUUGAACACAACGUCUGUCUGUUGCAUGAUGAUGCUGAUGAUGGCUCACCCUGUUGAACCGUGGAAGCAAGUUCGGACUGAACUGCAGCAGCAAUUUGCAAGCCCGUUUUGAUCGCGUGUGUUGGCUCAUGCCCAGGCUCAUGCAUGUAUGAGUAUGUUGAACCUCUCGAUGGAUGGUUUUCGGCUUCCCUGUGUCUCGCUCGCACUGCUACCAUCAUCUCGUGACUCAAACAUCAUGUAUGCCUGGCCUUGUUUAGUUCCUAAAAAAUUUUGCAAAAUUUUUCAGUCCGUCACAUCAAAUCUUUAGACGCAUACAUGAAGUAUUAAAUAUAGAUGAAAAUAAAAACUAAUUGCACAGUUUGGUCGAAAUUGAUGAGAUGAAUCUUUUAAGACUAGGUAGUACAUAAUUAGAUAAUAUUUGUCAAAUACAAACGAAAGUGUUGCUAUUCCAAUUUUGUAAAAAAAAUUUGGAACUAAACAAGUCCAACUUUCAUCUACGUUCCAGUGCUAGAUGGCUCACCACACUAACUUGGCAUAAGUUGGCCAUACAUCAUUACAUUAUUUAAUUUACAGAGGAUAGACAUUGACCAAGGCUAGAGCCUCGCAUAGUCAGGGGUCACCUUCAUCCAACAAACACGCUGAGUCAGAUUUGUCGCGAUCAUUUUGGAAUAUAUAAUCCCAAAGCAUCUGAUUCCACUACUAAAGCUGAUGAUUCUUAUAAUAUAUUUUUUAUUAAAAAAUAAAAAAACGCAGGAAGUGGCCUACAUUGAAUGCACAAAAUAUUGUUUCCACACAGUACAAAGAUAGAUUGCACAAUCGUCUUUGUGCCUGCUUGGAUUCCACCACUAAUCGAACGAAGCUGCCUGGCACUUUCCUUCUCACCUUGCACUGUCACCACACGACCCACUCCAACCACCACCUUCUUCCCUGAAUCAUCACCAUUUUCCUUCCCAGCUUCAAGCAGCCAAACGGAAGACACCAACCAGCUACUGCGAUUCUUGCGGACAACUUGACUCCAUGCAUGUUGCUGCUCAACCUUUCAUCACUAACGGGCAUGCCACAAUCCAGCAGUAGCAUCUGGUUGGUCAGGUCGGCGAUGUCCAUGCUGAUUCCUGCCUAGCCAUUGACCAAUAAUACAUCCUGUUGUUGCAACGCCUCUCCGCUUCCGGCCAUUGCUCAGCUCAUCGGACUCAGGUUUGUUUCCUUAACCGUUACGUUUCUGCAGUGGCUUAUGCUUAGCAAGAUCUGCCCAUAUAGCUACUGCCCCCAGUGAUGUAGUUGUUAUGAUUCGGCACAUAAAGUUGUCACUCUCAUAUAGUUAUAUCAAUGAACGAGAGGGGGAGUGAAUGAGAGCCGUAAAUUUUGUCUCAAAAUAUUUUCGGCCACUGUCUCAAAUCACCGCCCAACACAAGCGAGAAUCCCGAAACUAAAUUACUCAAGCGAACCGGUGACAAGAGCACUUAGAUAAAAUUUUUGAAACAAUAGAAAGUUAACACAACAGACGAAACACGAAUUAGAGCUCAAAUGAUUAAACUACGCAUUUUUUAGAUAAAGGAUAGUUUAUAUCCAAACUUCAUCUACCAUAGGGUAGAAUCAGACCAAUUAUUACAAAGUUCGGUCAGACGACCAGUACACUUGAGAUAACUCAAUUUAUGGAAACAAAACGGAAAGAAAGCGUUUGGCUAUGAAAGACCAAGAAACCUAGUUGACAGCCAUCCAUUAGAUCUAAAGAAAUGCAGAGUUGAAGUUUCCAAAAACUGUCCAGCAAGCAGAAGCUGGUCUUUUAGUACCUCACACCGCUACAGUCUUACCCACUAACGAAGCCAAUGGGUUCCUCUAAUACCUGCAAAAAAGUUUUCGGUCUGCAUUUGUCAAAAAACCACUUCAUUUCUUGUUAUCCAAAUUGUCCAAACUAGGGUCAUAGCUGCCAUUAAUAAUAAGGAAUUAAAAGUGUUACUAGUCCUCUUAAGACCAAUUAACAAAAAACAAUCAUUUAUACUAAGAGGAGGUGCAAUUCCAAACAACAGGCGUACCACACGCCACAAGAAUUAGUAUAAAAACAUUCGAAUAAGAGGUGGUGAAUAGUUUUAGGAGAAUCACAGAACACAUAUCUUGUGUCUCUAGCCUAGUUACGUUGGCAAGAUUAUCUUUGGUUAAAACAACACCUCUUUUUAAAUAUAAAAAAAAGACUUUUAUACAAAAGGGAGCCUCGCCUAGUCAAGAUAUAGGGGUCACCUUCAUCCAACAAACAUGCCAAGUCAGAUUUGUCGUGAUCAUUUUGGAAUAAUCCCAAGCAUCUGAUUUCACCACCAAAGGUGAUGAUUCUAUUAAUAUAUUACUUUAUUAAACAAUAAAAAACAGAAAGUGGCUUAAAUGAAAUGAACAAUACUAGGACCUUGUUUAAUUCACAAAAAUUUUUGGAUUUGACUAUUAUAGCAUUUUCGUUUUAUUCAGCAAUUAGUGUUCAAUCAUGGACUAAUUAGACUUAAAAGAUUUAUCUCACAAUUUAUAGAUAAAUUAUACAAUUAGUUAUUUUUUAUCUAUAUUUAAUGUUUUGUAUAUGCGUACAAAGAUUUUUUAUCAAGUGGGCGAUCAAAUUGUUAACAUCCAUCCGUCCCGCCCAACACUAACAUCAGCUUUUGCAGUGCACCAACCGCUAGCCUUUUCGUUUAUUACUAAAUCCAAGUUAUAGGUGCGGAGAGUGUUGCCGAUCGAACUUCCAUGUCAUGGGAUAAAUUGGGGCUCAGUAAUCUAAAAGAAAGUGAGUUGUUUAAUUUCCAACGUAUAGAGGCUCCAAAGAGAAAUUCAUACCAAUACACUUGUGAUUGGAAGAAAAUGAAUUGCCAUUGCCAAUAUACUUGAUUAAUUUGUACUUAAUUAUGUAAUUCGAAAUAAAAUAGCAUGCAUUACAAGACGCAAGAGCCGGUCAGUGGCCGCUGCCAAAUUGUAUUUUGGUUUCUUUAUGAGCGAGUCUUUGCUUGUCGUCUCGUGCAACGAGAACGCUUCCUGCGGUGCCUCCACUCUAGCAUCCAACAAGGCUCCGGUGUGGAAUUUAUAAACUAGGACACAGCAAGCAAGUCGAUCGAAGUUGCCAUGCACUUUCCUUCCCACCUUGCACUGUCACCAAAAGACCUACUCCAACCACCAUCUUCUUCCCUGAAUCAACACUAUUUUCCUUCCCCAGCUCAAGCAGCCAAACAGAAGACACCAACCAGCUACUGCGAUUCUCGCCGGUAAUUUCUUUCCUGCCCACCUUGCAGUGUUAUUCCUACUCUAGCAUCCAUCUCACUGCUCCUCCUUUCUUCAAUCACUGGCGAGCCACAAUCCAGCAGUAGUAUAAGGUGGGUCAGGUCGAAGAUGUCCAUACUGAUACCUGUCUAACCAUAAACCAAGAUUGAGAUCCUAGUCCACGACCAAGAAAGAACAAAGUGGCACUGCCUCACCAAUUCUGGCCAUUGCACAGCUCGUCAACUUGAGGUUUGUUUCCUUAACCGUUACGUUUCUGCAGCUAUAUAGUUGUGCACAUAUAGUGCCCACUGUGUUGUAAUUGUUAUAUGUCUCUGCAGCUGCUUAUGAGUAUCUAGAUCUGUGCAUAUAUAGUUGCCACUGUCAUGUACUUGUAUCAAUAAUGAACGAGAAGUCAGUACUAGUGCCGCGAUGGCUGCAUGUGUAGAUGGAAGAUGAUUGAAAAUAUUUGUUGUAUAAAAUUGAAAUGCAAUGUUGAAAUUAACAUAUGUUCUAAUUUCGUUACAGCAAAAACGGAAGUUCUCAAUCAUGGCCGGUGUCCUAGAUGCUUUGGCAUCCUACAUCCAAAACAUGCUUCUGCAGAUGGCGGCAGAAGAGGUGCAUAUGUUGCUUGGGGUGUCCGGUGAGAUUGACAACAUGGACAUCAAGCUUCGGGAUCUAAAGAACAUCCUUGCUGAUGCUGAUAGGAGGAACAUCACUGACAAAAGUGUCCUAGCAUGGGGGAUAGAGCUAAGGAAUGCUAUGUAUGNNNNNNNNNNNNNNNNNNNNNNNNNNNNNNNNNNNNNNNNNNNNNNNNNNNNNNNNNNNNNNNNNNNNNNNNNNNNNNNNNNNNNNNNNNNNNNNNNNNNACGGAAAGAAAGCGUUUGGCUAUGAAAGACCAAGAAACCUAGUUGACAGCCAUCCAUUAGAUCUAAAGAAAUGCAGAGUUGAAGUUUCCAAAAACUGUCCAGCAAGCAGAAGCUGGUCUUUUAGUACCUCACACCGCUACAGUCUUACCCACUAACGAAGCCAAUGGGUUCCUCUAAUACCUGCAAAAAAGUUUUCGGUCUGCAUUUGUCAAAAAACCACUUCAUUUCUUGUUAUCCAAAUUGUCCAAACUAGGGUCAUAGCUGCCAUUAAUAAUAAGGAAUUAAAAGUGUUACUAGUCCUCUUAAGACCAAUUAACAAAAAACAAUCAUUUAUACUAAGAGGAGGUGCAAUUCCAAACAACAGGCGUACCACACGCCACAAGAAUUAGUAUAAAAACAUUCGAAUAAGAGGUGGUGAAUAGUUUUAGGAGAAUCACAGAACACAUAUCUUGUGUCUCUAGCCUAGUUACGUUGGCAAGAUUAUCUUUGGUUAAAACAACACCUCUUUUUAAAUAUAAAAAAAAGACUUUUAUACAAAAGGGAGCCUCGCCUAGUCAAGAUAUAGGGGUCACCUUCAUCCAACAAACAUGCCAAGUCAGAUUUGUCGUGAUCAUUUUGGAAUAAUCCCAAGCAUCUGAUUUCACCACCAAAGGUGAUGAUUCUAUUAAUAUAUUACUUUAUUAAACAAUAAAAAACAGAAAGUGGCUUAAAUGAAAUGAACAAUACUAGGACCUUGUUUAAUUCACAAAAAUUUUUGGAUUUGACUAUUAUAGCAUUUUCGUUUUAUUCAGCAAUUAGUGUUCAAUCAUGGACUAAUUAGACUUAAAAGAUUUAUCUCACAAUUUAUAGAUAAAUUAUACAAUUAGUUAUUUUUUAUCUAUAUUUAAUGUUUUGUAUAUGCGUACAAAGAUUUUUUAUCAAGUGGGCGAUCAAAUUGUUAACAUCCAUCCGUCCCGCCCAACACUAACAUCAGCUUUUGCAGUGCACCAACCGCUAGCCUUUUCGUUUAUUACUAAAUCCAAGUUAUAGGUGCGGAGAGUGUUGCCGAUCGAACUUCCAUGUCAUGGGAUAAAUUGGGGCUCAGUAAUCUAAAAGAAAGUGAGUUGUUUAAUUUCCAACGUAUAGAGGCUCCAAAGAGAAAUUCAUACCAAUACACUUGUGAUUGGAAGAAAAUGAAUUGCCAUUGCCAAUAUACUUGAUUAAUUUGUACUUAAUUAUGUAAUUCGAAAUAAAAUAGCAUGCAUUACAAGACGCAAGAGCCGGUCAGUAGCCGCUGCCAAAUUGUAUUUUGGUUUCUUUAUGAGCGAGUCUUUGCUUGUCGUCUCGUGCAACGAGAACGCUUCCUGCGGUGCCUCCACUCUAGCAUCCAACAAGGCUCCGGUGUGGAAUUUAUAAACUAGGACACAGCAAGCAAGUCGAUCGAAGUUGCCAUGCACUUUCCUUCCCACCUUGCACUGUCACCAAAAGACCUACUCCAACCACCAUCUUCUUCCCUGAAUCAACACUAUUUUCCUUCCCCAGCUCAAGCAGCCAAACAGAAGACACCAACCAGCUACUGCGAUUCUCGCCGGUAAUUUCUUUCCUGCCCACCUUGCAGUGUUAUUCCUACUCUAGCAUCCAUCUCACUGCUCCUCCUUUCUUCAAUCACUGGCGAGCCACAAUCCAGCAGUAGUAUAAGGUGGGUCAGGUCGAAGAUGUCCAUACUGAUACCUGUCUAACCAUAAACCAAGAUUGAGAUCCUAGUCCACGACCAAGAAAGAACAAAGUGGCACUGCCUCACCAAUUCUGGCCAUUGCACAGCUCGUCAACUUGAGGUUUGUUUCCUUAACCGUUACGUUUCUGCAGCUAUAUAGUUGUGCACAUAUAGUGCCCACUGUGUUGUAAUUGUUAUAUGUCUCUGCAGCUGCUUAUGAGUAUCUAGAUCUGUGCAUAUAUAGUUGCCACUGUCAUGUACUUGUAUCAAUAAUGAACGAGAAGUCAGUACUAGUGCCGCGAUGGCUGCAUGUGUAGAUGGAAGAUGAUUGAAAAUAUUUGUUGUAUAAAAUUGAAAUGCAAUGUUGAAAUUAACAUAUGUUCUAAUUUCGUUACAGCAAAAACGGAAGUUCUCAAUCAUGGCCGGUGUCCUAGAUGCUUUGGCAUCCUACAUCCAAAACAUGCUUCUGCAGAUGGCGGCAGAAGAGGUGCAUAUGUUGCUUGGGGUGUCCGGUGAGAUUGACAACAUGGACAUCAAGCUUCGGGAUCUAAAGAACAUCCUUGCUGAUGCUGAUAGGAGGAACAUCACUGACAAAAGUGUCCUAGCAUGGGGGAUAGAGCUAAGGAAUGCUAUGUAUGAUGCCACUGAUAUCCUCGACCUUUGCAAGCUCAAGGCUAUGGAGCAAGGCCAAAGGCAUGAUGCCGGAUGCUUCAACCCGUUGCUCUUCUGCAUACGGAAUCCCCUACAUGCCCACGAUAUUGGAAGCCGCAUCAAGAACCUUAACAAGAGGCUAGACGACAUCAAGGCACGUGGUGCAUCAUUCAACUUCCUGAACCUUAGUACUUAUGAGGAUCGUGGAAGAAAUGUGAUAUCAUAUGGUUCUAGUACCCGUGAGACAUCGGGGGGCCUUGUUGAGUCUGGUUUGGUUGGUGAGAAGAUUGAAGAGGACACAAUAAAUCUUGUGGAGAUGCUAACAAAGAAGUAUCCUACCGACGACAACAAAUCCAACAAAAUAAUGGUUUUCUCUAUUGUGGGAGCUGGUGGGAUUGGUAAAACCACCCUUGCUCAAAAGAUCUUCAACAAUGAAGUCAUAAAGGAUGAGUUCAAAAAGAAAAUAUGGUUGAGUGUCAACCAAGGCUUUGAUGAUACUGAAAUGUUAAGAAGAGUUAUUAUCGAAGCUCGUGGAAACCACCAUGAUUGUGGAAAUGCAAAGGUGUCACUAGAACACACUCUAAUAGAAGCUUUGAAGGGACAAAAAACCUUAUUAAUAAUGGAUGAUGUCUGGGACAGCCGUAUAUGGGAAGGCGUGCUUAGAACUCCCUUUGUUAAUGCCAUGCUAGCUGAAGGUAGCCGUGUGCUGGUCACCACAAGGCAUGACACAGUGGCACGUCAGAUGAAGGCGGAGGAGCCCUACUAUCGUAUUGACAGACUUGGGCUUGAAGAUGCAUGGAUGCUGCUCAAGAAGCAGGUACAAGUUAAUCCAUACAUUUAUUACUUUUCAUUAAUCAUGCAUUAUGUUUUCUAGCUGCAUCACUUUAGUUUUGCUUCUAUCUUAGUAGUGGGAACUAGAUUCCCUGUCUUGGCAGCAACUUCUAUUUUUCUUCUUUGUUUCAACCAUGUAGUUCUGUGGUGGUGACCUUCGAAAUAUAAGAUAAAGAAACAAAAUGACAUACUUCCUUGCGUUAGCAUUGUAUUAUCUUGCAUAUGCAGUCAUGUAGACUCCACAUAGUGCAGGUAUUCACUUUUUUUGUUAAAGCAAUUCAAAAUUGGACAUUGUAUUACACUCCCUCCUUUUUUUAAAAAGAACUUGAGAUCUGUAGGUUCGAUUGGAUCUGUAAUUGGCUGUAAUGUAGGCAAUAUGAAAUGGCGAAUUAGUAACUAAUUUAAAUUCACAAACUAAGGAAACCAUAAUAAGUAUGUUUAUCACUAUUCUUUUUAGAGUAAAAUAAAAAAAAGGUCUUUGAAGUUAUUCUGUAUGAUGUUGUCCGAUCCUCAAACUCUCAAAAUGCUUGCAUUGUGAGGUUAGAGAAAUUGUCCUUGUAUGGAAUGUAAGUCCCAAGCCCUUAUAAUGGUACUUUCAUCCACAGGACUUGUCACGUGUUGUCAUCUAGUCUAGUUCUUAAUGAGCCCUAACACACUAUACACCCUUAUGUGGCAUGUCACAAUUGAUCCAUUUGUGGUUCAGUAUUGAUGAGUAGUCUAACGCGAGGUUAUGUAUAUCACACAUAUUGGGCUGUUGCACUAUAUCCGAGCGAAGAGAGAGAGAGGGGGAACUCAGGAUGGUGGUCCAAAGGCCAACAUAUAUGUGUGGUGCCCAUAUAUAGAAUCGACUAGUACAGAUAUUAUGAGACAUAUAGGUAGCAUUUGGUUGGGAGAUAAGGUGGGAUGGAAGAAUGAUCUUGUCUCCGGUUUGAGGGAUGCAGUGACCCUAUUUUCUUUUUGGUUGGAAAGCGAUGGGACCAAUUUGUUUUCUAUUUGGUCUUAGAUAUAAUAACUCAAAUCUUGUGGGUCCCAUUUGGCAGUUUUAAUUCUCUUUUUCUUCCUCCUCUCCUUACCUUGUUCACGAACUGUGGCCACCCAAAGGACUCGCAAGUGCGACGCCCUCUGCCUCCUCCCGUUGAGUCGGCCAUGGCUUAUGCCACCUGCUUCAUGUGUAGCCACCCAAAGGACUCGCGCACGGUGGCUCCUAAAAGGUUGCACGACGGCAGCCUCUGAGCUCACGCGUGGAGGCUCCUCUUAUCUCGGCACAGUGGUGGCCCCCCAAGGUCAUGCAAGGCGGCAAUCUCCCGAGCUCGCGCGAUGGUGGCCCCCUGUGCUCGUCUUCAUUGACCUCCCCUAUGUGCACCUCCUCUUGUCUUCUUCCUCACCAGUGAGUGGGCUUGUCCCACCUCAGGCGACCCCUUGUUCGUCAAAUUUCUGCACAAGCACGCAUGUGAGCAACUGUCGUGGUCGUGUAGCCACCAUGCUUGCGCAGCCAAAUAGAAUUGGGAUACUUAAAUGUUUAAGUAUCUAAAUGUAUAGUUUUACAUUUAGUGAUCUGAUAGAAGAUGCAGUAGUUUAGAGACUAUGGGUGCAAUUUGCUCUAUGACAAUGGUUGGAAUCGCCUCCCAUCGCCUCCGCUAAAAACUUUUUUCCUUUUUUUUUUAAUUUGUGGAAGGGUAAUAACAUCAUUGUACAAGGUUCUCUUAAACCCCAACCCCUAUUAUCGGCAGCGACGGCUCCCUGUAACACGCAUUGGUGGACGCAGACAGGUGGAACUCAUAGAAGAUUUAAAAAAACUUAAGAAGAAGAUUUUUAUCUAACUAGCUAUAGUACUUGAAUCAAACAUCCUAUCUAUCUUACUCAAAAUAUUACUUUUACAAUUAUGAAUUUACCCUUUUACCCUUCAUUAAAAAAGAAAUACAAAAGGAGAAAUUACCGCUCCUCUAUUUAGGGUCUUAAUUCCUAUAAUUUUGGAGGCGAUGGGAGGCAAUGUGACAUCUAUGGCCCACCGACCAUAGACACACCUAUUACCUCCCAUCACCUUGCUUCUAUCGCUUUGCUUCUCAUCGCCUCUCCAACCAUUGUAAAAAUAUUAAUUAUAGUAUUACUGGACGUACAUGUAUGUGGAGAAGGCAUUGCUUAUGAAUUGUGUACAACAGUAUUUAAAAUUGAUUUUUCAACGUGAAGCUGGUGGAAGCGUGAUAUAUAGCAAAGAAUCCACAUACCAACGCUAAACUCAUGGUGGCAACUAAUGUACAUGCUUUGUAAACUGCAAUUGCCCACUGGGUGAAAUCUAAGGAAGAGUGGGCCAAGAAACUAAGAUUAGACCUAGUACCACUUAGAAUAUUAAUUAUUUUAUAACAAAAUUUGAAACUAAACCAACCGCAUUUGUUGGGAGUAGACUAUACAGCUUUCAACCGUUUAUUUGUAUUGGAAUGCACGACGAUAUUACAUGCUGAGUUAUUAGUGUAGUUACUGGCACAGUAGCGUAUAUAUGGAUGUGUGUCACUUUGUAAUGGAAACAAUUAUUUCUAAUAUUUUUGCUUGGCCAUACGUACGUUCGUGCGCACCUUGUAGUGAGCAUUCUUCCUCAAUGUUGAGUUUUGUUUGCACGAGCACUGUAGCUUUAUUACACAGAAUUUCUAUCGACUAGUGCAUCAACCCAUGUUCUGGCAUGGGCUUGAAUUUUAUGAGAUAUAAGUAUUAAGUAUUGUUCUGGUCAUUUCAAAUUAUAAACCAUUUUGGCUAUUAAAGAUAUAUUAUUUUUCAUUGUACCUGACAGUAUAUCUAAGUGUAUAGAAAAAACUAUAUACUUUCGAAACAUGUUAUAAUUUGAAAUGCGCGGAGUAGAUCUGAAUAAUAAUGAAAUAGUCAUAAAU